Molecule: ribosomal RNA, 482 nt
Filed under: uncultured bacterium
Lineage: Bacteria
Description: partial 16S ribosomal RNA
Rfam family: Bacterial small subunit ribosomal RNA
Source: RNAcentral
AUUGAACGCUGGCGGCAUGAUUUACACAUGCAAGUCGAACGGUAACAGGCCGCAAGGUGCUGACGAGUGGCGAACGGGUGAGUAAUGCAUCGGAACGUGCCCAGUCGUGGGGGAUAACUACUCGAAAGAGUAGCUAAUACCGCAUACGAUCUAUGGAUGAAAGCGGGGGACCGUAAGGCCUCGCGCGAUUGGAGCGGCCGAUGUCAGAUUAGGUAGUUGGUGGGGUAAAGGCUCACCAAGCCAACGAUCUGUAGCUGGUCUGAGAGGACGACCAGCCACACUGGGACUGAGCCACGGCCCAGACUCCUACGGGAGGCAGCAGUGGGGAAUUUUGGACAAUGGGCGCAAGCCUGAUCCAGCAAUGCCGCGUGCAGGAAGAAGGCCUUCGGGUUGUAAACUGCUUUUGUACGGAACGAAACGGCUCUGGUUAAUACCCGGGGCUAAUGACGGUACCGUAAGAAUAAGCACCGGCUAACUACGUG